Molecule: long non-coding RNA, 255 nt
Filed under: Dermacentor andersoni
Lineage: Eukaryota; Metazoa; Arthropoda; Arachnida; Ixodida; Ixodidae
Description: uncharacterized LOC126543019
Source: RNAcentral
UGAUGAGACAAAAAAAAAAAAGUGGCGGAAGGGAGCGGUGCAGGGUGGGUCCCUAUUCCAAGACUCCAGUGGCCAUCGCGACCCGCCCAGCUUGGUCCAAGAGGCCCUUCUGGGCCUCGAGGUCAGCAAGAGCGAGGAUGGCCUCCCAGGGCUCCCUUAGCAAGAUGUCCAAGCGCCCAUUCAAGCAUCUCGGGAAACGCAGUCUGCCGUUCUUUCGGUGGGCUGUACACGUUGCCAAUAAACGUUUUGGUUUUA